RNAcentral lists this ribosomal RNA (754 nucleotides) under uncultured bacterium. Its description in RNAcentral is "bacterial SSU rRNA". It matches the Rfam family "Bacterial small subunit ribosomal RNA", at positions 59 to 774 of the family's 1533-position model. The record is from RNAcentral.
AAGUCGAGCGAGCUUGCCUAGAUGAUUUUAGUGCUUGCACUAAUGAAACUAGAUACAAGCGAGCGGCGGACGGGUGAGUAACACGUGGGUAACCUGCCCAAGAGACUGGGAUAACACCUGGAAACAGAUGCUAAUACCGGAUAACAACACUAGACGCAUGUCUAGAGUUUGAAAGAUGGUUCUGCUAUCACUCUUGGAUGGACCUGCGGUGCAUUAGCUAGUUGGUAAGGUAACGGCUUACCAAGGCAAUGAUGCAUAGCCGAGUUGAGAGACUGAUCGGCCACAUUGGGACUGAGACACGGCCCAAACUCCUACGGGAGGCAGCAGUAGGGAAUCUUCCACAAUGGACGAAAGUCUGAUGGAGCAGCGCCGCGUGAGUGAAGAAGGGUUUCGGCUCGUAAAGCUCUGUUGGUAGUGAAGAAAGAUAGAGGUAGUAACUGGCCUUUAUUUGACGGUAAUUACUUAGAAAGUCACGGCUAACUACGUGCCAGCAGCCGCGGUAAUACGUAGGUGGCAAGCGUUGUCCGGAUUUAUUGGGCGUAAAGCGAGUGCAGGCGGUUCAAUAAGUCUGAUGUGAAAGCCUUCGGCUCAACCGGAGGAUUGCAUCAGAAACUGUUGAACUUGAGUGCAGAAGAGGAGAGUGGAACUCCAUGUGUAGCGGUGGAAUGCGUAGAUAUAUGGAAGAACACCAGUGGCGAAGGCGGCUCUCUGGUCUGCAACUGACGCUGAGGCUCGAAAGCAUGGGUAGCGAACA